RNAcentral lists this ribosomal RNA (894 nucleotides) under uncultured bacterium. RNAcentral describes it as "bacterial SSU rRNA". It matches the Rfam family "Bacterial small subunit ribosomal RNA", at positions 8 to 915 of the family's 1533-position model. The record is from RNAcentral.
AGAGUUUGAUCCUGGCUCAGGACGAACGCUGGCGGCGCGCCUAACACAUGCAAGUCGAACGAGCGAGAGAGAGCUUGCUUUCUCAAGCGAGUGGCGAACGGGUGAGUAACGCGUGAGGAACCUGCCUCAAAGAGGGGGACAACAGUUGGAAACGACUGCUAAUACCGCAUAAGCCCACGACCCGGCAUCGGGUAGAGGGAAAAGGAGCAAUCCGCUUUGAGAUGGCCUCGCGUCCGAUUAGCUAGUUGGUGAGGUAAUGGCCCACCAAGGCGACGAUCGGUAGCCGGACUGAGAGGUUGAACGGCCACAUUGGGACUGAGACACGGCCCAGACUCCUACGGGAGGCAGCAGUGGGGAAUAUUGCACAAUGGGGGAAACCCUGAUGCAGCGACGCCGCGUGGAGGAAGAAGGUCUUCGGAUUGUAAACUCCUGUUGUUGAGGAAGAUAAUGACGGUACUCAACAAGGAAGUGACGGCUAACUACGUGCCAGCAGCCGCGGUAAAACGUAGGUCACAAGCGUUGUCCGGAAUUACUGGGUGUAAAGGGAGCGCAGGCGGGAAGACAAGUUGGAAGUGAAAUCCAUGGGCUCAACCCAUGAACUGCUUUCAAAACUGUUUUUCUUGAGUAGUGCAGAGGUAGGCGGAAUUCCCGGUGUAGCGGUGGAAUGCGUAGAUAUCGGGAGGAACACCAGUGGCGAAGGCGGCCUACUGGGCACCAACUGACGCUGAGGCUCGAAAGUGUGGGUAGCAAACAGGAUUAGAUACCCUGGUAGUCCACACUGUAAACGAUGAUUACUAGGUGUUGGAGGAUUGACCCCUUCAGUGCCGCAGUUAACACAAUAAGUAAUCCACCUGGGGAGUACGACCGCAAGGUUGAAACUCAAAGGAAUUGACG